GUCUCAGCAAAAGCAACAGAAGGAUAAAGAAGAACAGGAACUAUUGGAAGAAGGAAACCUGUAGUGGUUGAUUACAAGCUGAGACCCAGAGUAGUCUACCUUCCUGAAGCCACGAGCCCUGUCCUUUUGCUUUAUUUCACACAUUUCAUGCCAGUGUCAGGCCAGAUCCAUGCUAUUGCUAUUUGUUCAUACAGUCACCAAUGCUGCAUGCACAUAUGAGUGCAGCUGUUUAGAGAACAUCCCAGUAUUCAUCAGCUGCAGAAGGGUGUGAAUGGAGGAUUAAGUUGUAUCAGGCCAAGAACUCCAGCAAGAAACCUCUAUGGAAAGACAUUGUUAUGUGGAGUCAAACGCAAAGAACAUCAAGUUCUCACAGAAGAAAUGAAAACCAGCCUCUUAGAUAGGACAUUGAACUCAAGGGAGUUGGGUUCAAUUUUCCAGCAGUUCAACCCGAGAUUUGUUUGAUUCUGAGCUAAUUAGAUAGAUUCACCAGGAUACAGGUGCAGACAAAUCAAAACCCAUGAAAAUUGCCUCCGUUUUUCCUGCACAAGAUAUCUUCAACACCAGCAUUUCUCAGAAACCAGUAGCUGCUUCGGACAGCCGCUGAAACUCCAGAUGAGCUCCUCUCUCCAAUCAGUUGUCCGGUGAAAGAGGUCUGCAGUUGGCAGAAGGGUGUUGUGAAUUUCCCCCAAGAGCCACAUGUUUCUCUUUUACUAACACUAGAUAGUAUUUAAUUCACUUUGCUAUUAGGAAUUUCGCUGAGGCCUGAGCUCCUUGCCCCAAUAUUAACAGAAAGUUUCCCACUGCUUUCAUUGGAUGUACAGCUGGGCCUGGUGCACAAAUAGCCAAGGCAGAUUUUUCACUACUGAGACUAUUAUUCGCCCUCUAUGCUUAUGUUGCUUUCAUAACAAAAUUCACAGGGUGAUUGUAUAGAAUGAUGCCUAAUAGAAAAUUCAGGGAGAAAAAAACUCCAAGGCAAAUUAGUUUCGAAGCAUUGUAUGGUGGCACUGUGACCACACAAUAUCACCAUGAUACUCAGACUGCAGACAGUCUUCCCCAUGACAGUUCAUGGUCUUCUUCAACCAACACGAUGUCUCCAGAGAUUAAGGAGUCCCAGGGACUUGGUUUACAUGCCACAGCAUACAGGCUUACUAGCUAUAGCUCAAGCACAGCUGGAAAGAUAUAAUGGAGGUCUCAGUUGUGAGAGUCCCUCAGAAAGCAUUUAAAUAAAUAAAAAAGGUCCAUUUGUACUGGCA
RNAcentral lists this long non-coding RNA (1253 nucleotides) under Manacus vitellinus (golden-collared manakin). Its description in RNAcentral is "lncRNA (ENSMVIG00005004332.1)". The record is from RNAcentral. Lineage: Eukaryota; Metazoa; Chordata; Aves; Passeriformes; Pipridae.